This 416-nucleotide small RNA is filed under the name Pan troglodytes (chimpanzee). Its description in RNAcentral is "processed transcript". The record is from RNAcentral. Lineage: Eukaryota; Metazoa; Chordata; Mammalia; Primates; Hominidae.
GAUUUCUUGGUAUUGGUGUGAGCAUAGCCUGGCAGGAGAGGGCAGAUCUCCGUGCAAAGUAUGUCAGAAAGCAGAUGGAAGCCAGGCCCCCUCCUGAAAGAGGCUCCUUGAAGGGUGGGCUCUAGGUGAACAUGGAGAAUGGGCCAAAUACAGCAAUUUUGAUGUUGCUACCCAUGUUCCCCUGAUGUUCUAUGUUCCUGGAAGGACGGCUUCACUUCCGGAGGCAGGCGAGAAGCUUUUCCCUUACCUCGACCCUUUUGAUUCCGCCUCACAGUUGAUGGAGCCAGGCAGGCAAUCCAUGGACCUUGUGGAACUUGUGUCUCUUUUUCCCACGCUGGCUGGACUUGCAGGACUGCAGGCUCCACCUCGCUGCCCCGUUCCUUCAUUUCACGUUGAGCUGUGCAGAGAAGGCAAGA